CCCAUUUUAUACGGUACUUGUAAUUCUGUCACACGUAAUAUUUCCUAGUCUCCUAAUUCCCACAGUGACACUCUGUGUACAUUAAAUGGAUAUUAACAGAUAAAAGUUUCUCACCCAUUUAGACAGGCCAUAUUAGAGCUGCAAGAUGAAAACACCAGUUGGCUAACUGCAAUUUUUUUUCUCACCUCACCCCAUUACCUCAGUCAAUAUCUAAUCAUCCUCUUCCUCCUUCUGAUGUUUCUAUUGAUUCUCCAGACAAGUUUUACCAUGCUCCUUAGCAUGUGUAUUAAUGAUCUACUGCUUUCUUUCUUUCUGUCUGUUUCACAUGCAAACAUCUGCCGUGCUGCUGGGUCAAAGACACUUUGUAAAGGCUUCUUUUUGCCUGCUCCUCCAACAGCGUGCUGACAUUUUAGCAUUAGUGGCUCUGUCAGAGUGUGAAAGAAUCAACCCUUACCGUCCCCCCAUAACACCCCAGGAUAGAACUCUGUCUGCGAGGUAUGUGUGUUUUGUGGUUUCUCUGCACCAAGCAACGUUGUUUUUCAUUCAGUCCUGUUACCUGCUGUGUGGCACUGGGAAUGAAAGCACCGUGUAGACUUUCAGCUCCUCUAAAUCCACUCAAGAUGACUCUGUAACAAGAGUGUCAAAGUUCAGAUCAGACAAUAUUCUUGCUCGGUCUUUUCACAAAACCACUGUGCUGUCCAAUUGCAUCACUUUGCAGCCAUCCGUGCUCCAUCACCCAGCCUAG
This 745-nucleotide long non-coding RNA is filed under the name Oreochromis niloticus (Nile tilapia). RNAcentral describes it as "lncRNA (ENSONIG00000042095.1)". The record is from RNAcentral. Lineage: Eukaryota; Metazoa; Chordata; Actinopteri; Cichliformes; Cichlidae.